Molecule: ribosomal RNA, 995 nt
Filed under: uncultured bacterium
Lineage: Bacteria
Description: bacterial SSU rRNA
Rfam family: Bacterial small subunit ribosomal RNA
Source: RNAcentral
UGGGGGAUAUUGCACAAUGGGGGAAACCCUGAUGCAGCGACGCCGCGUGGAGGAAGAAGGUUUUCGGAUUGUAAACUCCUGUCGUUAGGGACGAUAAUGACGGUACCUAACAAGAAAGCACCGGCUAACUACGUGCCAGCAGCCGCGGUAAAACGUAGGUCACAAGCGUUGUCCGGAAUUACUGGGUGUAAAGGGAGCGCAGGCGGGCGAUCAAGUUGGAAGUGAAAUCCAUGGGCUCAACCCAUGAACUGCUUUCAAAACUGAUUGUCUUGAGUAGUGCAGAGGUAGGCGGAAUUCCCGGUGUAGCGGUGGAAUGCGUAGAUAUCGGGAGGAACACCAGUGGCGAAGGCGGCCUACUGGGCACCAACUGACGCUGAGGCUCGAAAGUGUGGGUAGCAAACAGGAUUAGAUACCCUGGUAGUCCACACCGUAAACGAUGAUUACUAGGUGUUGGAGGAUUGACCCCUUCAGUGCCGCAGUUAACACAAUAAGUAAUCCACCUGGGGAGUACGACCGCAAGGUUGAAACUCAAAGGAAUUGACGGGGGCCCGCACAAGCAGUGGAGUAUGUGGUUUAAUUCGACGCAACGCGAAGAACCUUACCAAGUCUUGACAUCCUGCGACGAUGCUAGAAAUAGUAUUUUCCUUCGGGACGCAGAGACAGGUGGUGCAUGGUUGUCGUCAGCUCGUGUCGUGAGAUGUUGGGUUAAGUCCCGCAACGAGCGCAACCCUUAUGGUCAGUUACUACGCAAGAGGACUCUGGCCAGACUGCCGUUGACAAAACGGAGGAAGGUGGGGAUGACGUCAAAUCAUCAUGCCCUUUAUGACUUGGGCUACACACGUACUACAAUGGCGUUAAACAAAGAGAAGCAAGACCGCGAGGUGGAGCAAAACUCAGAAACAACGUCCCAGUUCGGACUGCAGGCUGCAACUCGCCUGCACGAAGUCGGAAUUGCUAGUAAUCGCAGAUCAGCAUGCUGCGGUGAAUACGUUCCC